CUGAGAAGUAGAGGCGCACUAAAUAUCAGUAGCGGUAAGCAGGGUGAUUCCGUUUAUGUAUCGCGAAAGGAUUUGGUGCCGAAGGGGUUGCGACUCAUCAAAGUCCACCGCUGGGGCUGUUACCAAAUAGGGGCAGCACUGCCAUAGUAUAUUCUGUCGGGAUGACAGAUUGACGUUACUAUGGAGCGCUACUGAAAGG
Molecule: non-coding RNA, 199 nt
Filed under: Shewanella algae
Lineage: Bacteria; Pseudomonadati; Pseudomonadota; Gammaproteobacteria; Alteromonadales; Shewanellaceae
Description: Lysine sequence
Rfam family: Lysine riboswitch aptamer
About the family: Riboswitches are metabolite binding domains within certain messenger RNAs that serve as precision sensors for their corresponding targets. Allosteric rearrangement of mRNA structure is mediated by ligand binding, and this results in modulation of gene expression. This family includes riboswitches that sense lysine in a number of genes involved in lysine metabolism, including lysC.
Source: RNAcentral